Molecule: long non-coding RNA, 392 nt
Filed under: Struthio camelus australis
Lineage: Eukaryota; Metazoa; Chordata; Aves; Struthioniformes; Struthionidae
Description: lncRNA (ENSSCUG00000003122.1)
Source: RNAcentral
AGCGCCACCUCGCCUGGGCCCCGGGGGGCGUUUCUGGUGUGCGAGGGGGGCAGCGCAGGCACCGCUGCCGGGCUCCGUGCACCACAGGGUUGGGUGGGCGAACAGCACGCGAUUGAGGGUGUCAGAUUAAAGGUUUCCGGUCUAGCCUGGGUCCUACACCACCCGUGUACAGUAAUGACACAUUCCCCAGAAGAUUCUGGAAAAUCUGCAGAGCCACAAGCUCCUUUCAUCUGGAACUGCAUGCUUGUAGGAGAAGAAAACAAGCCAGUGAGGCUUUCAUACAAGACCCAGUGUGGCAGAAUGUGUGUACAGUUGCUGUUUCAUCAUCCCAUCUAAGGCUGGAGGUGUUUCCAUCAAUUAAUUUUACACAACUGAUACCUACAUCUCAAAGG